AGUUCUUCAGGGCUGUCUCUGUGAUCCAGGCUUUGAUCUGGGAAAGGUUGCGCCUCAUUGCAGAGUUGAAGCUAUCUGCCUGCUUUGUUUACACGAACGCCCUUCCAGGACUCUGUCUGCUUUUGGGGUGGAAGUGCCCUGCCAAAAACUCCAGCUCUCCAUGCUGGCUGUGUGGCCAGCAUACCUCCUGCCUUUUCAACGAUUCCUCUGCCCUGGAUAGAGAGCGGUGUCUCAUAACAGUUUGGAAACUACAAAAGUUUCCCUGGCAGGAUGAAUGAUUGACUCGGCAACAUGUUCUUGCCUUUUGGAGUUGCCCUCCAAUUUUUCCAGGCUUGAUUCUGUAAAUCAUUUCAUCUUGUAAAAAUACUGGGCUGUGAGCACGGAUGAUCUCAAAGAUGAGGAAACAGAAGCUGGGAUAUGUGAGUAAACAUUUCCAAGGUCCUGCAGCUAAUCAAUGGUGAGCUUGCGAAGAAACCCAUAGCUUUCAAACUUUGAAACUGAUGCUCCUUAGAUUAACCAGGCUACCUCACUUACUAACUAAGUGAAAUCAUCAUGGAGGGCUCCUUGUCCACCUCUUUGCAAUGACCCUAAGGAUCUGAGACAUACCUACCUCUCGACAAAGACAAUAACAUCAUAUCUAGGAGGGGCAGUAGAUUGAUUCUUGAAUUAGGCUGCUUGAGCUAGUACUCUCGCUCUGCUGUUCACAUGCUAUGUGGCUUGGGGGCAAAUUACUGAAACUCUUUGUACUUCAGUUCCCUAAUCUGUGAAAAGAAAAAAAAAGUGUGGAUAAUACAUAUACCCAACUCAUAGGUUUUGUGAGAAUUAAAUGAAAUGGCAAGUGGUUUGCCUAAGGCCUGGAAAAAAUAAUUAUUCAAUAUAUCUAUACAUUUUCUCAUUUUAUUUGGAGCUUGCAUUAUGUUUAGUUAUUAAUUUCUUUAGCAGAAAGCCACCUAGAAAAAAGCAUGCAGGUUUCUUACGAGAGGAAAAAAUAAACGCUUGUGAGCACAAUUAGAUAUACGAAGGAAGACGUGGGUAACCCGGUCUGGGAGAGCAUUGGUAAGGUGGCUGAUCAUGCUUUCUUGUUUUUGUUUUUUCUCAAACAAAUUAGAGAUUCCAAAUUAAGGAGCAAGACUAGAACAAAGGUGAAAAUUGUGAAAAAUUUCUGUGAAGCCCAAUGCUCUAUAGUAACCAGUUAGCAAAAAGCUAUUCAGGAGAAAGGAACUAGACUAACGCAAUGUCUUUUUGCUAUAGCUAAUUCAAUCACUGUCAUUACCACCAGCAUAUUUUCAGAAAAGAGAAUAUUUAAAAGACUCAAUUCUGUUAAAAGUUGGGUACCAUAUAGUCUCAAAAGUGAGCUAUGAAAUCCUGUCCCAAGCCAGAAAAAACAAGUUCACCAUCUUGCGAGAGUAUUCUAAAAAAAAACUUUUUAAAACCUGUUUCUUACUAAUUAUUUGAUUUACGUCGAACAUUUUGAAUUUUCCAUUAUGUGAAGGGUCUAAAGUCUUUUGCCAAGGGCAAUGAAAA
Molecule: long non-coding RNA, 1524 nt
Filed under: Homo sapiens (human)
Lineage: Eukaryota; Metazoa; Chordata; Mammalia; Primates; Hominidae
Description: HSALNT0339732
Source: RNAcentral